UGAGUACGGCGAGCGAAAAGGGAGGAGCCCAGCGCCGAAUCCUCGACCUCCGGUCGUUGGAAAUGUGGCGUUUAGGAGUGAGCGUGCCGGGUUCGGAGCGGGCGGCAAGUCCCCCUGACCGGGGCCUGUCCAUAGCGGGUGCGAGGCCCAUAGCCGCCCGUCCCGUCUCGGAUGCGAUCUCCUUGGAGUCGGGUUGCUUGGGAGUGCAGCCCUAAUCGGGUGGUAAACUCCACCUAAGGCUAAAUACCGCCGUGAGACCGAUAGCAAACAAGUACCGUGAGGGAAAGUUGCAAAGAACUUUGAAGAGAGAGUUCAAGAGUACGUGAAACUGUUCAGAGGUAAACGGGUGGGCCCUCGAAAUCCUGUGGCGAGAGGAUUCAGUCUGGCGCCGUGGACUCGGAGCGGGAAAUUCGUGGUAGGGCUUCCCGAGACCGGGGCCGUCCCGCAUCGAGGCCUCCUCGGUUCCAGACGCAUUUGUCUCUCGUCCGAAGGACGCUGCAGCCGGUCGGGCAGUGCAAGCGUGUCGGCCUGAAGGUUGGGCCAACGGCAGGUGGCCGGUGGCGCGCCUCGUGUGCGUCGCCGGUUGUUAGCCGGCCCUUCGGUGGCUCGACGUCCGACCGUGGUGUCGCGAGGCCCUCACGGGCCUCAUCGUCUCCUCCCUGAGUUGCGGGGCAGAGGGUCGCAGGUGAAAUGCGCUGUCCCGUCGCACUCCCUCGGAGUGGACGGGUUAACGUAGCGCGCCGUUGGCGGCCGCGGACCCGCGGGGGACUGGAGGCUCGCAGCGAGUAGGUCGGUCACCCACCCGUCCCGUCUUGAAACACGGACCAAGGAGUCUAACAUGUGCGCGAGUCAAUGGGUCUUGAACAGGCCCAGGGGCGCAAUGAAAGCGAAGGUCGACCUCGCGUCGGCUGAGUCGGGAUCCUCCUCCUCGCGGGGAGGCGCACCGACGACCCGUCCUAUUCGGCUCGCCGUUUGGGCGGAGUCUGAGCGUACACGUUGGGACCCGAAAGAUGGUGAACUAUGCCCGGACAGGACGAGGCCAGAGGAAACUCUGGUGGAGGU
Molecule: ribosomal RNA, 1062 nt
Filed under: Noegus transversalis
Lineage: Eukaryota; Metazoa; Arthropoda; Arachnida; Araneae; Salticidae
Description: eukaryotic LSU rRNA
Rfam family: Eukaryotic large subunit ribosomal RNA
Source: RNAcentral